GGGUUGUGAGGUUAAGCGACUAAGCGUACACGGUGGAUGCCCUGGCAGUCAGAGGCGAUGAAGGGCGUGCUAAUCUGCGAUAAGCGCCGGUAAGGUGAUAUGAACCGUUAUAACCGGCGAUACCCGAAUGGGGAAACCCAGUGUGAUUCGUCACACUAUCAUUAACUGAAUCCAUAGGUUAAUGAGGCGAACCGGGGGAACUGAAACAUCUAAGUACCCCGAGGAAAAGAAAUCAACCGAGAUUCCCCCAGUAGCGGCGAGCGAACGGGGAGGAGCCCAGAGCCUGAAUCAGCAUGUGUGUUAGUGGAAGCGUCUGGAAAGGCGCGCGAUACAGGGUGACAGCCCCGUACACAAAAGCGCAUGUGCUGUGAGCUCGAUGAGUAGGGCGGGACACGUGGUAUCCUGUCUGAAUAUGGGGGGACCAUCCUCCAAGGCUAAAUACUCCUGACUGACCGAUAGUGAACCAGUACCGUGAGGGAAAGGCGAAAAGAACCCCGGCGAGGGGAGUGAAAAAGAACCUGAAACCGUGUACGUACAAGCAGUGGGAGCACCCUUUGGGUGUGACUGCGUACCUUUUGUAUAAUGGGUCAGCGACUUAUAUUCUGUAGCAAGGUUAACCGAAUAGGGGAGCCGGAGGGAAACCGAGUCUUAACCGGGCGUUAAGUUGCAGGGUAUAGACCCGAAACCCGGUGAUCUAGCCAUGGGCAGGUUGAAGGUUGGGUAACACUAACUGGAGGACCGAACCGACUAAUGUUGAAAAAUUAGCGGAUGACCUGUGGCUGGGGGUGAAAGGCCAAUCAAACCGGGAGAUAGCUGGUUCUCCCCGAAAGCUAUUUAGGUAGCGCCUCGUGAAUUCAUCUCCGGGGGUAGAGCACUGUUUCGGCUAGGGGGCCAUCCCGGCUUACCAACCCGAUGCAAACUGCGAAUACCGGAGAAUGUUAUCACGGGAGACACACGGCGGGUGCUAACGUCCGUCGUGAAGAGGGAAACAACCCAGACCGCCAGCUAAGGUCCCAAAGUCAUGGUUAAGUGGGAAACGAUGUGGGAAGGCCCAGACAGCCAGGAUGUUGGCUUAGAAGCAGCCAUCAUUUAAAGAAAGCGUAAUAGCUCACUGGUCGAGUCGGCCUGCGCGGAAGAUGUAACGGGGCUAAACCAUGCACCGAAGCUGCGGCAGCGACACUGUGUGUUGUUGGGUAGGGGAGCGUUCUGUAAGCCUGCGAAGGUGGCCUGUGAGGGUUGCUGGAGGUAUCAGAAGUGCGAAUGCUGACAUAAGUAACGAUAAAGCGGGUGAAAAGCCCGCUCGCCGGAAGACCAAGGGUUCCUGUCCAACGUUAAUCGGGGCAGGGUGAGUCGACCCCUAAGGCGAGGCCGAAAGGCGUAGUCGAUGGGAAACGGGUUAAUAUUCCCGUACUUGGUGUUACUGCGAAGGGGGGACGGAGAAGGCUAUGUUGGCCGGGCGACGGUUGUCCCGGUUUAAGCGUGUAGGUGUGUGUUCCAGGUAAAUCCGGUUCACUUUAACACUGAGGCGUGACGACGAGGCACUACGGUGCUGAAGCAACAAAUGCCCUGCUUCCAGGAAAAGCCUCUAAGCAUCAGGUAACAUCAAAUCGUACCCCAAACCGACACAGGUGGUCAGGUAGAGAAUACCAAGGCGCUUGAGAGAACUCGGGUGAAGGAACUAGGCAAAAUGGUGCCGUAACUUCGGGAGAAGGCACGCUGACACGUAGGUGAAGUGAUUUACUCAUGGAGCUGAAGUCAGUCGAAGAUACCAGCUGGCUGCAACUGUUUAUUAAAAACACAGCACUGUGCAAACACGAAAGUGGACGUAUACGGUGUGACGCCUGCCCGGUGCCGGAAGGUUAAUUGAUGGGGUCAGCGCAAGCGAAGCUCCUGAUCGAAGCCCCGGUAAACGGCGGCCGUAACUAUAACGGUCCUAAGGUAGCGAAAUUCCUUGUCGGGUAAGUUCCGACCUGCACGAAUGGCGUAAUGAUGGCCAGGCUGUCUCCACCCGAGACUCAGUGAAAUUGAACUCGCUGUGAAGAUGCAGUGUACCCGCGGCAAGACGGAAAGACCCCGUGAACCUUUACUAUAGCUUGACACUGAACAUUGAGCCUUGAUGUGUAGGAUAGGUGGGAGGCUUUGAAGUGUGGACGCCAGUCUGCAUGGAGCCGACCUUGAAAUACCACCCUUUAAUGUUUGAUGUUCUAACGUGGACCCGUUACCCGGGUUGCGGACAGUGUCUGGUGGGUAGUUUGACUGGGGCGGUCUCCUCCUAAAGAGUAACGGAGGAGCACGAAGGUUGGCUAAUCCUGGUCGGACAUCAGGAGGUUAGUGCAAUGGCAUAAGCCAGCUUGACUGCGAGCGUGACGGCGCGAGCAGGUGCGAAAGCAGGUCAUAGUGAUCCGGUGGUUCUGAAUGGAAGGGCCAUCGCUCAACGGAUAAAAGGUACUCCGGGGAUAACAGGCUGAUACCGCCCAAGAGUUCAUAUCGACGGCGGUGUUUGGCACCUCGAUGUCGGCUCAUCACAUCCUGGGGCUGAAGUAGGUCCCAAGGGUAUGGCUGUUCGCCAUUUAAAGUGGUACGCGAGCUGGGUUUAGAACGUCGUGAGACAGUUCGGUCCCUAUCUGCCGUGGGCGCUGGAGAACUGAGGGGGGCUGCUCCUAGUACGAGAGGACCGGAGUGGACGCAUCACUGGUGUUCGGGUUGUCAUGCCAAUGGCACUGCCCGGUAGCUAAAUGCGGAAGAGAUAAGUGCUGAAAGCAUCUAAGCACGAAACUUGCCCCGA
Molecule: ribosomal RNA, 2785 nt
Filed under: Salmonella enterica subsp. enterica serovar Enteritidis
Lineage: Bacteria; Pseudomonadati; Pseudomonadota; Gammaproteobacteria; Enterobacterales; Enterobacteriaceae
Description: partial 23S ribosomal RNA
Rfam family: Bacterial large subunit ribosomal RNA
Source: RNAcentral